AAGACGGACAGGAUGGACUUUUCUUAUAACUGGGGGGUUUGUAGACAGACUAGAGACACAUAUUAGUGUUGGACAAACAUAGUAGAGUGUGUUUUGUAUAAUAUGUGACCUUUAAAUUUAAUUCAGAUAGUGCAGAUGUGCAUUGAGAUUAAAGAAGGACUCCAACAUUAUCUAUAUUAUUUUAGUCCUACAAUCCUGGUUCUGUAUAUAAAUCUCAUUUCCUAUGCAAAUCUCAGUAAUCGCAAGAAACAAGUGUUUUUUCUCUCAUCACAUUAACACUUAUUCUUCAUGUAAUUUGUAGGCAAAAAAUAUUUUAACGUUUAAUUAUUGAUCUUUUUUUUUCAGGCUUUUCUGGGUGGAGCCAAAUGAUGAUCUGUUGUUUUGCCCUCGGGAUUAGUUUCGUGAGGGUCACUAUCUGGGGCCGCCUUUGUAGCCUUUACAGACGCAUUUGCAGUUGGAUGUGACUUUCUCGCUCCAUGUCCUAUUGUUUACGGCUUUUCUGGGUGGAGCCAAGGGAAGAUCUGUUGUUUUGCCCUCGGGAUUAUACUCGUGGGGGUACUGAUCAUUCUGUUAGCCGUGCUUUCUAUCCUGAAUAAGUAAAGUCGAGUAAAGGCCGUCACUAACCGAGAGUUAACCAUCUGUUUACUCUCACAAUCGAUUAACCUUGAAGUAUUAGGGUGACACAUUAAUGAGUAAUGUAAUGCAUGUGAAUCAUCUUAAGAAUAUAUAAUUACAGCUGGAUAUUAAUGUAUUGCUGUAGUGAAGUUUAUUGGAUAAUACAGAUGUUAAAGUUUGUAAUCUUUCGAUCACUAAUCUUUUAUGGGAAGAGAAAUAAAGAAUGCUGUAACCACCUUCUCCAGUCCACUUGUGCCGACAGGAGGAGGUUCACUUGUGUUGUAAGGUUGUUUGUUUCCUUCAGCAGUUGGGUUUUUAAAUAAACUGUAGGCAUUGCUGCCUGUACACUUUCACUGUG
Molecule: non-coding RNA, 973 nt
Organism: Labrus bergylta (ballan wrasse)
Lineage: Eukaryota; Metazoa; Chordata; Actinopteri; Labriformes; Labridae
Source: RefSeq, a predicted model, not a curated record